UGGGAGCAAUCGCAGGCAGCCA
Molecule: non-coding RNA, 22 nt
Filed under: Arabidopsis thaliana (thale cress)
Lineage: Eukaryota; Viridiplantae; Streptophyta; Magnoliopsida; Brassicales; Brassicaceae
Source: RNAcentral